Molecule: long non-coding RNA, 2551 nt
Organism: Gorilla gorilla gorilla (western lowland gorilla)
Lineage: Eukaryota; Metazoa; Chordata; Mammalia; Primates; Hominidae
Exons: 6
Source: RefSeq, a predicted model, not a curated record
GCUGCCUGGGUCGGGUGGGCCUGUGGGCCUGCGUCCGGCAGCGCGCGGCCGUGCUUUCUAAGCGGGCUCGGCAGCACCAGACUUCACCGGCCCGGCGCGGGGCUCACAAGUGCUCGCACUCUCUGCGACCGGCGCGCUGACCGGAGCCUCUGGGUCUCGCACGCAGCAGCUGCAGACAUUGCCCGGCGCGGUGGGGCUGUAAGCAAAACGGCCCGCCGGUGUGGUUGCCCAGACUGUGCUGGGCCCUCCUAGGUGGAUGGCCCUGCCCCAGCCUAACUUCUGUACCCCAGCAUAAUCUCCAAAGUAACAGCCGUGCCCUGGGAGCCUGUUCAACACUGAACAUAUCCCACAAUAACACUGUUCCAGCGUCGCUGGUAAAAAGCAGAAAUGGCUUCGCCGGAGGCAUCGACAAAUCUAAUGCAGUAACCUCAUUUUACAGAAGAGAACUCUAAGAGGAUAACUAACUUGGCCAAGAUCACAUGAUGUUUCUGGAUGAGAUUAGCAUUCAAAUUCGUGGACUCAUUAAAGUAGAUGGCCCUCUCCAAUAUGGGUGGGCAUCAUCCAAUCUGUUGAAGGCGUGAAGAGAACAAAAGAAGGAGGAAGGAAGAAUUCACCUUUUUUCUUGCUGCCCACCUGCUUGGGCUGGGACAUUGCAUCUCACCUUCUCCAGCCUUUGGAUGAGGAUUUACACCCUGGUUCUCAGGCCUUCAGGCUCUAACUGGAGCUACACUAUCAGCUUUCCUGGGCCUCCAGAUUGCAGAUGGUGGAUCACGGUACUUUUUAGCCUCCAUCAUAAAAUGAGAAAAAAGAGGCACAGUGAAGCUAAAUAUAUUGGCUAAAGAUCACAAAGCUAUUACUAUUGGUGAGGAAUUUUGGAGUAAUUUGAUUGGGUGUUCUGGCUCAAGGGUCUCUUAGGAGUUUGCAGUCAGAUGUCAGCUGUGGCUACAUCAUCUGGACACAUGACUGAGGGUGGAACAUUCAAUUUCAAGGUAUCUCACUCAUAUGGCUGCAUCGUUUCAAGGUUGGGAACCAUGGCAGGAAGAUCAUGCAGGUCUGGACUUCCUUUCCCCUCAAGGCAAAUAGAAUUCUGUGAUAAGGAUAUAGAGCGGCUUGAAGCUAGAUGAACUGGACCAUUGGUGUCCUACACAGAAGCUAUUUAAGAAGGAACAGCUCUGAUUUGGAAAAAUGUUUAAAGACUCACUCUAGUGAUUGUCCCGGGUGUGUCUUUGAGAUGAGGGCAGCCUCACCCUGAAGGAACUGGGUUCUCAUGUUCCUGCCAUCCUGAGGUGAAAAAGAAAAGGGUCUUGGACAAUGGAGUGAAGGCAAUCAAUCCUUGUUUCUUGGGAGCAAAGAGGGAAUUGAGAUUGUCCUCUGGUACAUGGAAGUGUCUGAAGAUUUCUGUGGAUGGGGGUGCAGCUCACUCCCACUCCUAUUAGAAAAAAAACCUGUGGGAGUCGGGUAGAGAGAGUCAACUUGUGUUUGGGCUGUGGCUUUCAAAAUAACCACCUUUAGUCAUGCUAUAGGUUGCCUUCUAGGGGUAUUCUAUUCCUUCAAAUCUUUUAGUGAAGCCUUAUUUAAAGGGAUAGCCCCUUCCUAGAUGUGCCUUGGGGGCAUUAAUGAAAGGAUCUAUGUCCAUGCUUAGGGUCUACAUGACACUGGGGAGGCAGAAAGAGUCUAGGGCAGGGGGUUAGGUCUGAGCGGAGAUGCUGUGCAUGGAGUAGCCCAAUAAUCCAGAAACAGCAUCUGUCUGGGGGAUCCCAAGAAUUUGCAGAACUUGCCAUCAUUCCUCAGGUUUUCACUGCUAUACUUGAGAAAGUAACCAAAUGAAAGAUGUGACUUUCUGCUUUUACAGGGAUGUAGGUCAGGCUAUUGUCAUUUGGACAUUGAAGAGAAGGUUGCCUUUGGAAAGCAGGAGAACUUGGGGGGAAUAGCUGACUUGCACAUCCUUCAAUACUCCACUUAGCUAUCAUUCCUUCUAACGUCUCCUCAGCUUCAUGUCUGAGUUCAGUGUCUUUUCUAGUGUUCCUUUAGUCCCCGGAUGCUAUCAUUUACACAAGCAAAUAAUAAUUACAACAGACUCUUAUUGAGUACUUACAUUGUGCCAAACACUAAGUUAAGUGCUUUACAUGGAUUAUCUCAUUCAGUAAUUUGGUAAUCUCUAUUUUUCAGCAGAGGACACUGAAACCUAGAGAAAUUAUGUGAUUUGCUUCAAGUCCUACAGAGGGACACUCAUAGAGCCAGAUUUUGAACCAAGAUGGUCUAGUCCAGAGCCAGUACAUGCAGGAUUUAGAAUAUACUCAUUUUAUUUUUCCCCUUUUCCAGUUUUUUUUUUUUUUUUAAGUGCUAUGAGCUUUCUUAGGAUAGUCUCUUUCCUUUAUAUCUGCAUCCUUAUCUUUUAGUAUAGGGCUAGGCACCUUAGUAAUUGUUUGACAAAUGUUUGUGAAAAGGAUAAAUGAAAGACAGAGCCUAAGGCAUAAAAUUUUAAGACAAUACACUGAAGCUGUUACAGUUUAUGACUGAAUAAAUAAAGUACUCAGCUCUCCUCUUGGUA